This 1367-nucleotide ribosomal RNA is filed under the name metagenome. RNAcentral's name for it is "eukaryotic LSU rRNA". It matches the Rfam family "Eukaryotic large subunit ribosomal RNA", at positions 1913 to 3178 of the family's 3401-position model. The record is from RNAcentral.
GUCGGCAAAACGGAUCCGUAACUUCGGGAGAAGGAUUGGCUCUUGGGAUUGGAUAUUGCAAUCCUUUAAUAUAUUAACAUUAAUUGUUUAAUUCCAGAGUUUAUAUUAACUUCGGUUUUUAUAAAUAAAAGUUUUAUUCGGUUUUUAUUAAUUGUUAUUGGAAUCAACUGUAAUAUCAUUUAACAAUCAACCAAGAACUGGUACGGACCUAGGGAAUCCGACCGUUUAAUCGAAACAAAGCAUCGCGAUGCUCAUAAUUUGACGCUGACGCGAUGUGAAUCCUGCCCAGUGCUCUGAAUGUCAAAGCGAAGAGAUUCGACCAAGCGCGGGUAAACGGCGGGAGUAACUAUGACUCUCUUAAGGUAGCCAAAUGCCUCGUCAUCUGAUUAGUGACGCGCAUGAAUGGAUGAACGAGAUUCCCACUGUCCCUAUCUACCGUCCAGCGAAACCACAGCCAAGGGAACGGGCUUGGCGAAAUCGGCGGGGAAAGAAGACCCUGUUGAGCUUGACUCUAGUCCGAAUUUGUGGGACGUCUCCGAAGGUGUAGAAUAGGUGGGAGAUAAUUAACCUCGGUUAUUUAUCGAUCUUGAAAUACCACUACUACGGACGACGUCCUACUCAUUCAUUUAAAUGGGAAUAAUAUCAUGGUUCACUUAAUGAAGACGAUUAUUGAAAUACUUCGGUAAAUCUUUAAUAUUAUUUGUUAAGCCCAAGUUAUUUUUUUCCAAGAAGACAAAUAAAAAAUUAUUAUAGCAAUAUAAUAAUUUUUAAUGACCCAAGAUGAAGAAAGAUUCGGGUGGGGAGUUUUGGCUGGGGCGGCACAUCCGUUAGAAUACAACGCGGGUGUCCCAAGAAAAGCUCAGUGAGGACAGAAACCUCGUGUAGAGCGAAAGGGUAAAAGCUUUUUUGAUUCAAGUCUUCAGUAAUGACAUGAACCGUGAAAACGUGGCCUAUCGAUCCUUUGUACAUGUUCCGACGACUCGGAGCCGGAGGUGUCAGAAAAGUUACCACAGGGAUAACUGGCUUGUGGCAGCCAAGCGCCCGCAGCGACGUUGCUUUUUGAUCCUUCGAUGUCGGCUCUUCCUAUCAUCGCGAAGCAGAAUUCGCAAAGCGUUGGAUUGUUCACCCACUAACAGGGAACGUGAGCUGGGUUUAGACCGUCGUGAGACAGGUUAGUUUCACCCUACCGAUAAAACGCCAUUCAACGGGUCAUUCGAUUUAGUACGAGAGGAACAAUUGGGUAAGGUCAAUAGCGAACACUACUGGUUGUUCAACCAAGUAGUGCAGCCAACAUCUUUCGGAUCAUGCCUGAACGCCUCUAAGGCAGAAUCCAUGCCCAAAAUAGAUAUCUUCAAAGGAUACAUAGU